Molecule: ribosomal RNA, 437 nt
Filed under: uncultured bacterium
Lineage: Bacteria
Description: bacterial SSU rRNA
Rfam family: Bacterial small subunit ribosomal RNA
Source: RNAcentral
AGAGUUUGAUCCUGGCCCAGGACGAACGCUGGCGGCGUGCUUAACACAUGCAAGUCGAGCGGUAAGGCCCUUCGGGGUACACGAGCGGCGAACGGGUGAGUAACACGUGGGCAACCUGCCCUACACUCUGGGAUAAGCCCGGGAAACUGGGUCUAAUACCGGAUACGACGCAUCUCCGCAUGGGGUGUGCGUGGAAAGCCUCCGGCGAUGCAGGAUGAGCCCGCGGCCUAUCAGCUUGUUGGUGGGGUAAUGGCCUACCAAGGCGACGACGGGUAGCCGGCCUGAGAGGGCGACCGGCCACACUGGGACUGAGACACGGCCCAGACUCCUACGGGAGGCAGCAGUGGGGAAUAUUGCACAAUGGGCGAAAGCCUGAUGCAGCGACGCCGCGUGUGUGAAGAAGGCCUUCGGGUUGUAAAGCACUUUUGUCCGGAAAG